Molecule: long non-coding RNA, 1048 nt
Organism: Cygnus atratus (black swan)
Lineage: Eukaryota; Metazoa; Chordata; Aves; Anseriformes; Anatidae
Exons: 3
Source: RefSeq, a predicted model, not a curated record
GGGGGGGGCCGGCUGCUCGGGGAUAGGCUGGGCAUCGGUCAGCGUGUGGGUAGCCGUCAGGAAUUAGAAAACUUCCUGCUACCAGUUGGAGCCUGAGCAAGGAACAGCUGGGGCUGGAGCAAAAACAUGAAGGACAAAACAUGAAGAACAAGAACGUUACUGGGAGUAAUCAUCAAGGAUCCACAAAGACUGAGCGCUGAAUGCUGGAGUUACCCUUCAUUGUACUGCACUGAUGAGGUAGUAGUUUCAAUUGCUUCACAUCAAGAGGGUAGUAAAAGCUUUCAAGAGGAUACUGAUGCAUCAGCUGGAGAGAAACAUGACCUUAAAAGUGAUUACAUUCCCAGUAAUUUCUCUAAAGAGAAAAGAGAACAUAUAUAUAUAUGUAUAUGCAUAUAUAUACGUAUUUGAAGAUGGAAGGAAGCAACCACAGUCAAGUGAAGAAAGUCUGACUUCACGACAGAAAACUGUAAAAAGAAUGACUAAAAGCAAUCAAUUUCUAAUGAUGUAACAUUUUUAUGCCACUGUGUUGUCCGUUAUGUAGUGACAAUUUCUGAAGUAUCACUUCCUCAAAUAAAGUAUACUGAGGUCCUUUUUAGAUUCCUGUUACUGUUUAAUGUGUUGUAGACUAUCCAAAAGCAUCUCAUCCUAUUCUAUGGUAUUUUAAUUGGUGGUAUUAUACAUUUUAAGUAUUAAAAAGAAAAUUCUCAGAAGUUUACAGAAAUAAAGUAACAUUUUGUUAUUUGAGACCACUUAAAGCCUUUAUAUAUAAAGUAUAAGGGAAGGAAUCUUUACUUCUUGUUUCUAAGUUACACCUUUCAAACACACUAAAGAAGUACAAUGUAUCAUGACAAACAAAAGGUCUCCUUAGGAACAAACAGAACAGAUUGUGUAGUUCUGGUUCCAGAUUUCCAUUCUCUUCAUUCCUAACUCCUAGUCAUUCUGCAAGUAGUAUAAUUCAUAAUUCAUUCAAGCAGUGGUGAAGCAAUAUGAACUGAAUGUGUUUUGAGUGCUUCUGUGUGUUUCAGUUGAUCUAAACUAGGGAAAGACU